Non-coding RNA from Caretta caretta (loggerhead turtle), 5158 nucleotides. Lineage: Eukaryota; Metazoa; Chordata; Testudines; Cheloniidae. The record is from RefSeq and is a predicted model, not a curated record.
ACACCUUGCAUUGUGCGGUGUGCCGCUUGCCUGCAUGACUGUCUCCCAGAGGUACCUCCUUGAGUCCUGUACGUAUAUAAUUUGCGCAGUCCUUUGGGAUGAUAAAUGUAAAUGUUGCUACUGAGUGGGGACAAUUUUGCCGUGAACCUCUCUCCCCCUCGCCAAGAUGCCCGGAUUGCCGGUUGUGAGCCCCUGCAAUGCAACCAGCAGCUAUUACGCAGGGUUACCGGCAACUGUUUGAUCUGUGUAUUAUGAACCUCCCCCCCACCUUCUAACAGCCUUCUCGGACUGACAGUGGAGAUACUGCAAAAGGAAGCGUUUCCCUCAGCCAUUUUCAGAGCACUGGCAAGGCGAAUAUCAAACAGAAGGGGGAAGGGUUGGCAUUGAUUUUAAAGGUGAAACUCCUGAUCAGAAAGUUGUACCUUCUUGUGGAAACAUGCCAGAAAUGAUUCAAGCAAAUGAGAAUAACUCAGAUUAAAACGGAAGGAGAAUGGCCUGUCUUUUACUUUAAAAAGGCCAGAUCCCGCUAACUUUAUUCACCUUGAUUAGGACCUUCUUGUGCCCGGAGCCUGUUGAUGUCAUUGCGGCUGUCUGCCGGGUAGGAGUACUGCUCAGCAGCGGUAAAGUUUGUUCAUUCUAUGGACCUUCCUUGCAGGGGCUAAUGAAAUAAUUAAGGUCUGGGGAACACCUCAGUGAAGAGGAAAAGUUUAAUUAUUCUCAUUCCUUUGUAUUUAACGGCCAGCGGCCACUGCUGCAGAGGCGUCGCAGCAAAUGACAGCACCCCCUGGCUCUGCAUCCAUUGUCUGAAUCGGUCAAUGCCGAAGCUUCCGAGGGCUGCAUAUUGCAGUACACUAUUGUCUCGCCGUGAAGCAAAUCAAAGGCACCCUUGCCGAUGGGAGGGCGGCCUGUGAUUGGAGCUACCGGAGGUGUGUGACAGCGAUUUGACAAUUAAGGGAGCAGCAGCAGAGAGCACAAUUUUGCAGCUGCUGCUGCUACAGGCACUGAAAACUCACAUUUCUGCCUCUUUCUCUCUCUCUGUCUCUCUUUGAACCAUCUGCAUGCUGAGAAGCGUACCUGCCAGGCGGCAUCCUCCAACCCCGGCAGUAUUCUUCAUCUCCCGGCAGCACCAUCCGUUGGCAGGCAGCAGCCACUCGUCCCCCAACAGAAUCCAGCUCCUGGCAGCAGCCUCCAUCCUUCAGCAGCCUCCAUUCCUUAGCAGGCAAAACCAGCCAUCCCCCUCCCCAGCAUCACCCAUGCUCUAGCAUCAUCCAUCCCCAACCACAUCCAGGCCCUGCAGCCCUUUGCUCCCUCUCCUCCCGAUGGGACAGCUGCCAACAUGAGCACCGAUGCCAAGCACCUGCCUGCAGGAUCCCAGGAGGGGAGCGGGGCUAUGUGGACUCCAUCCAGCUGGAUGGCUUCUGACGUCCCUCCCAACGCCAGCACCUCCUUGGCACAGCUGGAUCAGCUGCAAAGGGCGGAGGAGUGGGGUGGCAAUGCCGGAGAGAUUGCGGGCACGGUAGUGAUCCAGUGUCUCUACGCCCUGGUGUGCCUGCUGGGGCUGCUCGGCAACUCACUGGUGAUCUUCGUCAUCCUGCGCUACGCCAAGAUGAAGACGGCCACCAACAUUUACCUGCUCAACCUGGCCAUCGCCGACGAGCUCCUCAUGCUCAGCAUCCCCUUCGUGGCGGCCUCGGCUGCCCUGCACCACUGGCCCUUCGGCCGGGCCCUGUGCCGCACCGUGCUGGGCGUGGACGGGCUCAACAUGUUCACCAGCGUCUUCUGCCUGACCGUGCUCAGCCUGGACCGCUACAUCGCUGUGGUGCACCCGCUGCGGGCAGCCACCUACCGCCGGCCCCGGGUGGCCAAGAUGGUCAACGGAGGGGUCUGGCUGCUCUCGCUUCUGGUGGCCUCGCCCAUCCCUAUCUUCGCCGGCACCGCCAGCACGCACGAUGGCCGAGCAGUGGCCUGCAACCUGCUGUGGCCUAGUCCGGCCUGGGCGGCUGCCUUUGUGGUCUACACGACCUUGCUGGGCUUCCUGCUGCCGGUGCUGGCCAUGGGCCUCUGCUACCUGCCGAUUGUGGGCAAGAUGCGGGCGGUGGCUCAGCAGGUGGGCUGGCAGCAGUGGCGGCAUUCGGAGGGGAAGCUGACCCGGCUGGCGUUGAUCGUGGUGGCCAUGUUCAUGGUGUGCUGGAUGCCCUUUCACGUGGUUCAGCUGGUGAAUCUGCUGCUGCCCGGCCACCUGGAUGCCACCGUGAACAGUGCCUCUCUCGUCCUCAGCUACUCCAACAGCUGCGCCAACCCCAUCCUCUACGGCUUCCUCUCGGACAACUUCAGGCACUCCUUCCAUGGGGCGCUACGGCGGUGCUGCAACGCCAGCUUCUGCUGCUGCCGCCACCCGGACCUGGAUGGCGCUGAGGAGGAAGAGGAGGAGGAGCCGCUAGAUUACUGUGCCGUCCCCAAGGGGGAGGAGACGAGCAAGGGCUGCAUGUGCCCGUCUUUGCAUUGCCAGCAGGAGCCGGUGCACCCUGAGCCCUGCUGUACACCCGGCACCCUCCUUGCAAAGACCACCACCUUCUAGAUGGCAUGUGUCCUCCUCCUCGGGACCCCUGCCUUCCGAAAGGGUGCCUCCUCCUGGCCCAGCCCGCGCCUUGCAGGACCAGCAUCUUGUAAUGAGCACCAUCGCCCUGCUGCUGCAUCUCACCCUUCAGAAACAGACGAGCGGGGUAAAGAAGCCUGCGAAUUGUCCCAUGGGUCUCCUGGACUCCAGCGAGCCUCCUGGUGUUGGAUUUAGUCUCUCAUAUGCCAUCCAAAGGGAAACACUUGGAUGCACUGUUAGAUGUAAACUUUUGGGGUUGUUUUAAAACAAAACAAUAUUAUUUAUGGGCAUACAAUGAAGGAACUCUAGGGGAAACAUCUGUAUUUCAUUUACUUGUAGCUGCUUUGAAUAAAAAUUGAAGUGGACGUACAUAAUGUAAACCUCUUAGAAUAAUGAAAGCUUGCUUCCCAGUUGCUCCUUUCCUGCACCGGGGCAGGGAGAAUGCAGAGAUGAAGAGAGGGGAUGAAGUGGCUUUUAGUAUGGUCUGGGGCUAUGCAUGGCGCUGCCUGCCCUUUGGUAUAAGUCAGAGAAGCCUCAGGGUGACUCUAAUUUACAUGCUGCUUCCCAUGGCUCUCAAUUAGCUCUGAGAAGCAAUGAACAGCCAUAGUGCCAUCCAGUCCAGCCACACCCCUGAUCUAUUUCCUGUGCUGGGACCUGGAAGCCAGGCUGCUGUAGAGCAUUUCACCAGCUUUUCACUGGCCAGGUGUUCUUAGAGGGCCAUUUUCACCCCUUUGAGGUUCCUUUAUGUUAGAGUGGUUUAAAUGUCACUGAGAAUCAGGCCUGGAGACUUUAAAAGCCUGUGAGUAAUAAGGGGACAUGGCCAAAAAGUCUCUCUGAAAGGAGUUAUUAAAAUGGCGAAUGAUGGGUCCUGGAGGUGCUGCAGCAAGUGUUGGUAAUCGACUUUUAGAAAACCAAAGGGGCAAAUCCUACUCUCCGUUAUAUCAUUACCCUCCAAGGAGUUGGACCCGUGCAGCUGGGGGCGGACAGGAACAUUUGGGCUCAAAUCCUGGGAAAGAGAGCACAGCUGAGAACAAAUAAAUAAAAGGUAACUCCUGCACCAAACACAAGCCCCUGGAUGCAUGGGGCUGGAGCACAGAAACAAGGGCACUUCCGGAUGAUGUUGGGGUUUUCAUUCAUCAGCCUGGAUUUACAGUAAGGUUGGAUUCCCUUUAAUUUUCUGGUUCUGGGACUUUUGUUGCUUUGGUUUAGAGAAAUAAAGGGGGCCAGGGAAACCACAAUAAGAAUUGCCAGUAGUUUGCAAGUUCCUUGAGUUGCACCUAUGUGGACUGGUUCCACAACCUAGCUGCUGCCCUUGACCAGUUCCUAACCAUCCUUGAGUGAGAUCACUGGAAUCCAGCCACCCUGGAUGGAAGCUUUGCAAAACCAGCUAUCCUUGCCCAAAACCUCCUGACCACCCAUGGAUAGUGGGCCACCCCUUCAUCUUUUAUUGUCAAUCUUCUCUCUUAGGGGUGAAGUCCUGGACGUGAAUGGCCAAACCCCCAUGGACUUCAAGGGGGCCAGGGUUUCACCCAUCACCUUUUAAUUGCAUUUUCUUGCCAAAGAAAAUGCUUCUGGCAACCUUUCCUCCCCCAACCUUGAUCCCUCCUCAUUUCUUUGGAACAUAUGUGCCCAUCAGAUUCCCCAGCCCCCUCUGUUCCCUGCAGAAGUCAGUAAAACUAGGAUACUGGGCAGGACAUUUCUUCAUGCAGCACUUUUCUUUCUCAAAGCACUGUACAAGGAUUAAUCAAUCCUCACAACCCUCCUGAGAGGAAGGUAAUCUUUGUACAGAAGGGGAAAGUGGAGCACAGAGAGUUUAAAGAGAUGUGGCAAAGUCACACAGCGAGUCCCGGUGGAGCCCGCCAGGCCUCCCCACUCUCAGUCUUGUGUUUAAUUCACCAGUGCCACAAUCUCUGAUCAGAACACACAGAGGAGAUUCUCUUCUCCCCUGUGCAGCGCUCAAAAGUAGCUCAGAACUUUUUGCUGAAGCUUUCUAUAAACAAACUCACCCCUGGGUUGGGAAUGGGAGUAAAUUCAGCCCAAAAAGGAAUUUAUUUGUCAAAUUUAUGAGCAACUGGAAAAGGAAGAUUAUAGCAGGAGCUGCAUUUCAACUUUAACAGGUGCCACUACUGCUAAUUUAAUCUGCGGUAAUGUACAAACUUUAGGCCCAAUCCUUGCUCAUAUUAAACUCCCAUUCAAGUCAACAGGAUUUGGAUAAAGACAUAUGGCAAAAUUGUCUCAGCCACAGGAAACUCCCACAGGGCCAAAUCCUGUUCACACUCACAAAAAUCCACUGACUUCAAAGGAGUUUUGUAUGUGUGUAUAGAUAGAUAUUUCAGUGGAGUGACACGAAGGAUACAUCUGGCCCUACGUAGCUAUCAUUUUAUUUCUAUUUCAUUAACAUUGAUCUUUUAAUGUUAAUCUUGUUCUCUAUUAUUUACAGUCCAUUAUCACGGAUAAUAAUCACACUUGCAAAAUAGUUAUAAAAGAAUGUUUGGCCUGAUUUUCAAAGGUGCUGGAACUUGCAGCACGCAUGGACUCCAAUGGGAUCUGUGGGAGUUGGGC